Molecule: transfer RNA, 82 nt
Filed under: Candidatus Daviesbacteria bacterium RIFCSPHIGHO2_02_FULL_39_41
Lineage: Bacteria; Candidatus Daviesiibacteriota
Also listed under: 3 other names
Description: tRNA-Leu
Rfam family: tRNA
About the family: Transfer RNA (tRNA) molecules are approximately 80 nucleotides in length. Their secondary structure includes four short double-helical elements and three loops (D, anti-codon, and T loops).
Source: RNAcentral
GCCGCGGUGGUGGAAUGGCAUACACGCUCGCCUUAAGAGCGAGUCCCCAAAAGGGAUGUGGGUUCGACUCCCACUCGCGGCA